This 378-nucleotide ribosomal RNA is filed under the name Globigerinita uvula. Its description in RNAcentral is "bacterial SSU rRNA". It matches the Rfam family "Eukaryotic small subunit ribosomal RNA", at positions 1185 to 1402 of the family's 1831-position model. Lineage: Eukaryota; Foraminifera; Rotaliida; Globigerinitidae. The record is from RNAcentral.
GUGGCUUAAUUUGACUCAACGCGGGAAAUCUUACCGGGUCCGGACACACUGAGGAUUGACAGGCAAUAUAUGUGACUCUUCGGAGUUUGCAUUGUUAAAUAUGCUAGUCCUUUCAUGAUUAUGUGAUAGGUGGUGCAUGGCCGUUCUUAGUUCGUGGAGUGAUCUGUCUGCUUAAUUGCGUUUCAAAUUACUUAUAAGGUAGCAAUACGCGAUGAAGCUUUCAAUAGUCCUCACGGAUUCACUUGAGUCUCUCGCUUCGCUAUCCUUUCGAAUGCAACGAACGUGACCGCAACCUCUUGUUGCCUUCGUUUAACAUCCUGCAGCUCGCUGUGGGUACUGAGGGCUUCACUCGGUGACUUUGGGCUGAGCAAUCGGUCU